GACGAACGCUGGCGGCGUGCCUAAUACAUGCAAGUCGAACGCUGAAGGAGGAGCUUGCUUCUCUGGAUGAGUUGCGAACGGGUGAGUAACGCGUAGGUAACCUGCCUGGUAGCGGGGGAUAACUAUUGGAAACGAUAGCUAAUACCGCAUAAUAGCAGUUGUUGCAUGACAACUGUUUGAAAGGUGCAAUUGCACCACUACCAGAUGGACCUGCGUUGUAUUAGCUAGUUGGUGGGGUAACGGCUCACCAAGGCGACGAUACAUAGCCGACCUGAGAGGGGGGUCGGCCACACUGGGACUGAGACACGGCCCAGACUCCUACGGGAGGCAGCAGUAGGGAAUCUUCGGCAAUGGACGGAAGUCUGACCGAGCAACGCCGCGUGAGUGAAGAAGGUUUUCGGAUCGUAAAGCUCUGUUGUAAGAGAAGAACGAGUGUGAGAGUGGAAAGUUCACACUGUGACGGUAUCUUACCAGAAAGGGACGGCUAACUACGUG
RNAcentral lists this ribosomal RNA (495 nucleotides) under uncultured bacterium. RNAcentral describes it as "partial 16S ribosomal RNA". It matches the Rfam family "Bacterial small subunit ribosomal RNA", at positions 28 to 507 of the family's 1533-position model. The record is from RNAcentral.